Molecule: ribosomal RNA, 369 nt
Filed under: uncultured bacterium
Lineage: Bacteria
Description: bacterial SSU rRNA
Rfam family: Bacterial small subunit ribosomal RNA
Source: RNAcentral
GAUGAACGCUGGCGGUAUGCCUAACACAUGCAAGUCGUACGAGAGUUUUUAACUCUAGUGGCGGACGGGUGAGUAACACGUGAGAAUUUGCCUUUAGGAGGGGGACAACAAUUGGAAACGAAUGCUAAUACCCCAUAUGCUUUCGAGUGAAAUGGAUUUUAUCCGCCUAGAGAGAAGCUCGCGGCUGAUUAGCUUGUUGGUAAGGUAAGAGCUUACCAAGGCGACGAUCAGUAUCUGGUUUGAGAGGACGAUCAGACACACUGGAACUGAGACACGGUCCAGACUCCUACGGGAGGCAGCAGUGGGGAAUUUUCCGCAAUGGGCGAAAGCCUGACGGAGCAAUACCGCGUGAGGGAAGAAUGCCUAUGG